This 460-nucleotide ribosomal RNA is filed under the name uncultured bacterium. RNAcentral's name for it is "partial 16S ribosomal RNA". It matches the Rfam family "Bacterial small subunit ribosomal RNA", at positions 338 to 795 of the family's 1533-position model. The record is from RNAcentral.
CCUACGGGCGGCAGCAGUGAGGAAUAUUGGUCAAUGGACGAGAGUCUGAACCAGCCAAGUAGCGUGAAGGAUGACUGCCCUAUGGGUUGUAAACUUCUUUUAUAAAGGAAUAAAACGAGGCACGUGUGCCUUUUUGCAUGUACUUUAUGAAUAAGGAUCGGCUAACUCCGUGCCAGCAGCCGCGGUAAUACGGAGGAUCCGAGCGUUAUCCGGAUUGAAUGGGUUUAAAGGGAGCGUAGAUGGGUUGUUAAGUCAGUUGUGAAAGUUUGCGGCUCAACCGUAAAAUUGCAAUUGAUACUGGUAGUCUUGAGUACAGUUGAGGUAGGCGGAAUUCGUGGUGUAGCGGUGAAAUGCUUAGAUAUCACGAAGAACCCCGAUUGCGAAGGCAGCUUACUAAACUGUGACUGACAUUGAUGCUCGAAAGUGUGGGUAUCAAACAGGAUUAGAUACCCCUGUAGUC